This 406-nucleotide ribosomal RNA is filed under the name uncultured bacterium. RNAcentral describes it as "partial 16S ribosomal RNA". It matches the Rfam family "Bacterial small subunit ribosomal RNA", at positions 30 to 526 of the family's 1533-position model. The record is from RNAcentral.
AUUGAACGCUGGCGGCAGGCCUAACACAUGCAAGUCGAACGAGUGGCGGACGGGUGAGUAAUGUCUGGGAAACUGCCUGAUGGAGGGGGAUAACUACUGGAAACGGUAGCUAAUACCGCAUACCAUCAGAUGUGCCCAGAUGGGUUUAGCUAGUUGGUGGGGUAAAGGCUCACCAAGGCGACGAUCACUAGCUGGGCUGAGAGGCUGACCAGCCACACUGUAACGGAGACACUGUCCAGACUCCUCCGGGAGGCAGCAGUGGGGAAUAUUGCACAAUGGGCGCAAGCCUGAUGCAGACAUGCGGCGUGUAUGAAGAAGGCCUUCGGGUUGUAAAGUACUUUCAGCGGGGAGGCGUUACCCGCAGAAGAAGCACCGGCUAACUCCGUGCCAGCAGCCGCGGUAAUUC